ACUAGCUUAAGGGUAUUUAUGUAUUAAUUGUUUAUAAUUCAUAAUAUGAGGACAGAUAAUCUAUUCAUAUAUAUUGUAUAGCAGUACAAUAUUGAUAUGAAUCGUCCAUAGGGUUUUUGUUUGGAAAGACAUAUUCUUAAGAGUUAGGAAUUUGAGAUAUGUACUUUUCUGUACAAGACUCUUUAAAUACUUCUAGCCAGAGGAAUAUUACAAGAACGGUGAUAUUCCGGAUAGGCCGGUGUAUGCUAUGUUUCUAAUUGAGGUGACGAAUCUCAAGUCACUAGUGUAGGAACACUAGAACAAGCAUACAGGUGCUUGUUAGAGAACAAGUACACUGAGCGUGACUAUUUAGUUGAACAGUCACAUUGUUCUAUGCUCGCCAGUGACAAGUUCAUUGCUACAGUUGUGUAAAGUACUUCUCGGACUUGAGGCAUUAUAGUUGCUUCACGUAUAGGUUGCUACCGUUUGACAGUACUAAUACUUAAACUCUAGACAUGGGUCUAUAUUCGGUACUGAUUGGCUGUAGUGAUUUAUGCGAGGAGGCAUGUGAAUGCGCAAUAAGGAAUCCAACACUUUCAAUGACGAGGGAGAAUGUCCUAUGCAGUCUAUCGGACUUGACUCGGAAAACCCCUGGCCAGGGUACAUGGUAUGUGGAAAGAGUUUCCAACUGUGUUACCAUAUUGAGUUGAUUUCAGAUAGUCUAGUCAUAUGAUUGAAUGAUAAGGUUUGGCGAGUAACCAUGACCUUAGUUCGAUUGGGACGUUGUAUGUUGGAAGGAAUUAAUCACAUGGUAACUGUAAGCGGAAAGGUUCAUUCUUCAUCACCAUUCUGGAUUGCCGUGAUAUACUGCUAGGUGUCACUUACGGACGGUGAGAGAAUAUGAAUAAUUCGAAUUGAAUUGUUCUUAUUUAUCGAUUAGAAGAGUUCUAAUUAAAUAUCAAAGAGUUUGAUGUUGAGCUCCACUGCCGAAUGGUAAUGAACCUAUGCGGUCACACACAUUAGGAAUUGUGUGCACCUGAAUCGUUUGGAUGAAAGUCGUUCACUAAAGAGUUUAGUGUAAGCGAUAAAAAUAAAAGGAAGCUGCUUAAUUAAAUUAGAUUUAAUUAUUCGAUUCGGUUAUAACUGAUAAUCCUAAUUAGAUUAGGAUCUCAGAAUCAGUUAGAGAAUUAUGCGCAAGAUUUAAAUUUAUCUCUAAUUAGAUUAGUAGAUAAUAUUUAAUCAUAAAAGAUAUUUAAAUGAGAUUUAAAUAUUAGUGAGUA
RNAcentral lists this long non-coding RNA (1259 nucleotides) under Ananas comosus (pineapple). RNAcentral describes it as "long non-coding RNA (ACOM_LNC031873)". The record is from RNAcentral. Lineage: Eukaryota; Viridiplantae; Streptophyta; Magnoliopsida; Poales; Bromeliaceae.